UGCUUGCUAGUUUCGCUUGAGGAUAGGGCCGCGUCCGAUCAGGUCGCUGGUGAGGUAAUGGCUCACCAGGCCUAUAACCGGUACGGGCCGUGAGAGCGGUAGCCCGGAGAUGGGCACUGAGAUAAGGGCCCAGGCCCUACGGGGCGCAGCAGGCGCGAAAACUCCGCAAUGCGCGAAAGCGUGACGGGGUCACCCCGAGUGCCGUCCGCUGAGGAUGGCUUUUGCCCGGUAUAACUAGCCAGGUGAAUAAGGGGAGGGCAAGUCUGGUGUCAGCCGCCGCGGUAAUACCAGCUCCCCGAGUGGUUGGGACGAUUAUUGGGUCUGAAGCGUCCGUAGCCGGCCGGAAAAGUUCCCCGUUAAAUCUGGCGAUCCAAUCGUUGGGCUGCGGGGAAUACUCUUCGGCUUGGGGGCGAGGGAGGUCGGCGGUAGUCCCGGGGUAGGGGCGAAAUCCUAUAAUCCCGGGAGGACCACCAGUGGCGAAGGCGGCCGACUAAAACGCGCCCGACGGUGAGGGACGAAAGCUGGGGGAGCGAACGGGAUUAGAUACCCCGGUAGUCCCAGCUGUAAACGAUGCAGGCUAGGUGUUGGGACGGCUACGAGCUGUUCCAGUGCCGCAGGGAAGCCAUUAAGCCUGCCACCUGGGAAGUACGGCCGCAAGGCUGAAUUCUCACGAAAAAUUUCUCGCGAAAAAUUACGCGACGUGGGACAGUUCACUUAAAGGAAUUGGCGGGGGAG
Molecule: ribosomal RNA, 735 nt
Filed under: uncultured archaeon
Lineage: Archaea
Description: bacterial SSU rRNA
Rfam family: Archaeal small subunit ribosomal RNA
Source: RNAcentral